CUGUAAGCCUGUGAAGGUGUACUGUGAGGUAUGCUGGAGGUAUCAGAAGUGCGAAUGCUGACAUAAGUAACGAUAAAGCGGGUGAAAAGCCCGCUCGCCGGAAGACCAAGGGUUCCUGUCCAACGUUAAUCGGGGCAGGGUGAGUCGACCCCUAAGGCGAGGCCGAAAGGCGUAGUCGAUGGGAAACAGGUUAAUAUUCCUGUACUUGGUGUUACUGCGAAGGGGGGACGGAGAAGGCUAUGUUGGCCGGGCGACGGUUGUCCCGGUUUAAGCGUGUAGGCUGGUUUUCCAGGCAAAUCCGGAAAAUCAAGGCUGAGGCGUGAUGACGAGGCACUACGGUGCUGAAGCAACAAAUGCCCUGCUUCCAGGAAAAGCCUCUAAGCAUCAGGUAACAUCAAAUCGUACCCCAAACCGACACAGGUGGUCAGGUAGAGAAUACCAAGGCGCUUGAGAGAACUCGGGUGAAGGAACUAGGCAAAAUGGUGCCGUAACUUCGGGAGAAGGCACGCUGAUAUGUAGGUGAAGUCCCUCGCGGAUGGAGCUGAAAUCAGUCGAAGAUACCAGCUGGCUGCAACUGUUUAUUAAAAACACAGCACUGUGCAAACACGAAAGUGGACGUAUACGGUGUGACGCCUGCCCGGUGCCGGAAGGUUAAUUGAUGGGGUCAGCGCAAGCGAAGCUCUUGAUCGAAGCCCCGGUAAACGGCGGCCGUAACUAUAACGGUCCUAAGGUAGCGAAAUUCCUUGUCGGGUAAGUUCCGACCUGCACGAAUGGCGUAAUGAUGGCCAGGCUGUCUCCACCCGAGACUCAGUGAAAUUGAACUCGCUGUGAAGAUGCAGUGUACCCGCGGCAAGACGGAAAGACCCCGUGAACCUUUACUAUAGCUUGACACUGAACAUUGAGCCUUGAUGUGUAGGAUAGGUGGGAGGCUUUGAAGUGUGGACGCCAGUCUGCAUGGAGCCGACCUUGAAAUACCACCCUUUAAUGUUUGAUGUUCUAACGUUGACCCGUGAUCCGGGUUGCGGACAGUGUCUGGUGGGUAGUUUGACUGGGGCGGUCUCCUCCUAAAGAGUAACGGAGGAGCACGAAGGUUGGCUAAUCCUGGUCGGACAUCAGGAGGUUAGUGCAAUGGCAUAAGCCAGCUUGACUGCGAGCGUGACGGCGCGAGCAGGUGCGAAAGCAGGUCAUAGUGAUCCGGUGGUUCUGAAUGGAAGGGCCAUCGCUCAACGGAUAAAAGGUACUCCGGGGAUAACAGGCUGAUACCGCCCAAGAGUUCAUAUCGACGGCGGUGUUUGGCACCUCGAUGUCGGCUCAUCACAUCCUGGGGCUGAAGUAGGUCCCAAGGGUAUGGCUGUUCGCCAUUUAAAGUGGUACGCGAGCUGGGUUUAGAACGUCGUGAGACAGUUCGGUCCCUAUCUGCCGUGGGCGCUGGAGAACUGAGGGGGGCUGCUCCUAGUACGAGAGGACCGGAGUGGACGCAUCACUGGUGUUCGGGUUGUCAUGCCAAUGGCACUGCCCGGUAGCUAAAUGCGGAAGAGAUAAGUGCUGAAAGCAUCUAAGCACGAAACUUGCCCCGAGAUGAGUUCUCCCUGACUCCUUGAGAGUCCUGAAGGAACGUUGAAGACGACGACGUUGAUAGGCCGGGUGUGUAAGCGCAGCGAUGCGUUGAGCUAACCGGUACUAAUGAACCGUGAG
This 1695-nucleotide ribosomal RNA is filed under the name Escherichia coli. RNAcentral's name for it is "partial 23S ribosomal RNA". It matches the Rfam family "Bacterial large subunit ribosomal RNA", at positions 1241 to 2915 of the family's 2925-position model. The record is from RNAcentral. Lineage: Bacteria; Pseudomonadati; Pseudomonadota; Gammaproteobacteria; Enterobacterales; Enterobacteriaceae.